GUGUGCAGAAUAGGAAUAGCCCCAGGAAAGACCAACAGAAGAACCACUCACCUGAGCUCAGCCCAAAUUGUUGACUCACAGAAUUAAUUACAAUCUCCUGUUCCCCCUGAAAGAGCCCAGAUAGAUUCCCAGAUGAGUAUCGGAAGAGGUAGCUGCCAUCAGGACUUGCUUGAUGGACCCAAGCACUCAUCUAAUAGUGGCACUGGAAGAAUUAAUCUGGCUGAUAUAUCAGACCUCUCUCCUCCGUGGGAACUUGCCAUUUUCUCCAGCCUCUGAGUUUUUCUAGUGAGAUUCAGAGAUACAGCCAAAUCGCCUUAUACAAGGCAGGUGCUUGAUACAGGUUGAAUGAAGAUUAUGUUUACCAGGUUCCAGCCUCAGAAUAUUGGAAUCCACUUUCUCUGAAUGCACGGAGAGCUAGAAGCACCUGGGAAUUUAUGUUGCCCAAGAGCAGCCCUUA
Molecule: long non-coding RNA, 457 nt
Organism: Homo sapiens (human)
Lineage: Eukaryota; Metazoa; Chordata; Mammalia; Primates; Hominidae
Exons: 4
Source: RefSeq, a predicted model, not a curated record